RNA transcript from Mangifera indica (mango), 2831 nucleotides. It is a transcript of the gene named sugar transporter ESL1-like, with no coding region annotated. The transcript is spliced from 7 exons. The record is from RefSeq and is a predicted model, not a curated record. NCBI's taxonomy places the organism in Eukaryota, Viridiplantae, Streptophyta, Magnoliopsida, Sapindales, Anacardiaceae.
AAUGAAACGAAAGCCAAGAUCAGCUGACCUUUGACUAAAAUUAACGGUUCGUGAUUGUUUUGCAGAUAGGUUACUCAUCACCUGCUGAAUCUGGCAUCAUGCAAGACCUGAGCCUCUCUGUUGCAGCUAUUCAGUUAUUGGUUCAAUAAUGACUGUUGGAGGGAAAAUAGGAGCCAUACUAAGUGGCAGGAUAGCUGAUAUAUUAGGCAGGAGAUGUGCUAUGUGGUUCUCUGAUAUAUUCUGUAUCUUUGGCUGGUUCGCAAUUGCUUUCGCUGAGGUUUCGUUCCUUUUUCCUUCAGUUACAUGAUAUUAAUAUGCCAGUGAAAAUAUUAGAGAGUUUUCUUGCAGAUUGAUUACAAAACCAGAGCUCAUACACUUGAAUUCUCACAUUCAAUCUUCCUCUUUAUUCUCUCAUGUGUGCCUCUCAUCUGCUCUCUUUCUCUCUGUUUUUAUACACUUAUACAACUUUUAUAUGCAAACCCUUAUCAAAGGUUGGUAACAACGCGUAUACAAUACCUCUUCCUUGUCUGCUUUUGUUGGACUAGUCUGCCAGGUCGCACCUGCUUCUUCUCGCCUUGUCUUCCAAAGGUCGUGCCUCUCUUUGCUUGACAAGAGUUCCCUUGGUUGCACUAGCUUCUUGCUCUACCACAAGUCGCACCUCUCUUACUCUACCACAAGUCGCACCUCUCUUACUCUACUAAAUUGACUGGCUCAAAUUUUUGCUUGAUUUGCUUGAGUGUUAUGAAGUGUUAAACCGCUAAGUCGUGUCAUGUUGCUACAAGUUUCAAUAUCUUGGCAUAAGUAAAACAAUUAUCAGCCUGAUAUUUUGAUUCUUGUUGCAUUGCAAGAAUGCCUUGUGGCUGGAUUCGGGAAGACUUUCUAUAGGAAUUGAAAUAGGGCUUAUUAGUUAUGUGGUACCUGUAUAUAGUGCAGAAAUAGCACCAAAAGAUAUUCGAGUAUUUACAACAUUCAAUCAGCUGAUGGCCACAUGCGGCUGCUCGCUGGUAUGUUUCAUUAGAAAUCUCAUUUCCUGGCGUGCAUUGGCUCUAGUUGGUAAUGGUUUAUUUGUUUAUUGCCUAGCGUUUCAUUCAUUUUCAAAGCAGUUUUCAGUUCAAAUUGACACUUUCUCUCAUUUUUCUGCUGGGGCUAUUCCUUGCCUGCUACAAGUUUUGUUUUUUGUUUUUCAUUCCCGAGUCUCCUAGAUGGCUGAUGAAUUCAAUUCUCCAAAAUAUAAGUUAAUGCUGGGAGACUGUUGGAACCAACAACCGCUUUGUCUAUAAGAUGUUAUGGUAAUGCAUAUAAGGUCCUGCUCCCUGGUGAGCAAGCAAGGUGUAGAGAGCAGUGCCCCCAAGCCCGUAAGUUGUUUGGGGUUAACCCACCAAGAGCCGUUUAUAAUUUCUCUAAGUAAUAUAAAUCAUAGCAGGUUUUUUUCAAAAAUAGGAGUAAUUCAUUAAUAAAUACAUUUUUUUAGCCACUCGAAAGAUAAGAAAAUAUUAAAAUAAUAUUGAUUCGAUUGGAUAUAAUCCACCAUAUGUGUUCUUUCUCUUUAGUGUUUUGAGUGUAAGUGUUUGUUUUAUUGAUUACAAACUCUCUGGCUCGCCAGGAAGAAAAUGUAGAAAUACAUUUGUAUAAGGAAGCUAAUGAAGUGUUUGAAGAUUAAUCGAUUUCUAAGUGCAGCAGACAAGUAUUACUUUCGCAGGAAAAAAUAGGCAAAGAGGAGUUUGAAACAUCUCUGAAGCACCUCAGAGGAGAGAAAGCUGAUAUUUCUCAAGAAGCAGUUGAUAUCAGAGUAUGUUUCUCUACAAUUUUUUUACUGGAGACUUCAACUUCAACUGGAAAGAACUAUAACUAGUAUUUUCUUAUUGUUGGACUGCAUUGAAACCUCUCAACAAGACUCAGAUGGCUAGAUUUGUUCCAAAGGAGAUACGCAAAUUCAUUAAUUAUUGGAGUUUGCCUGAUGCUUCUGCAACAACCAGCAGGGUUUAGUGGUAUGGUCUACUAUACAAGUACCGUAGUAAAAAAAUCUGGUAAAUAAUCCUUUAUUUCUUUUACAUAAUUGAUUGUUAGGAAUCAAAUCAGGUUGGGUGUGGGCAUGUAAGUGCAAGUGAAAACUUUUCUGCUUGAGCUAACUUUUGGGAUAAGAGGGGCUCAGUAACACUUUUGAAGGCCUAACAAGUGGUAAUAGAGGCUCUAAUUCCAAACCCACCGUAGUACCAGUCCAUUUGGAGUGGGCUGCCUGGUUGAAAGGAGGAUUAUUAGGAAUCUCACAUUAGUUGGGAAAUUAAGUUUGGUGUGUAUAUAUAAAUGUGAGAAAGUCUUAUUCUUUGAGCUAGUUUUUUGGGGUGGGAGAGGUCUGAUCAUGUUUUUGGUGGCCAACAUUGUUGACAAUUGAUUAUGCAGUGAAAAAGAAAAAACACCAGCAUUGGAACUAGAGCAUUGGCCAUCAUACAGCUUCCAGCAGCAGCUGUCGGUGUCCUAUUGCUCGAUAAAGCCAGAAGAAGACCACUCCUCAUGGUCAGAAUGGCAGAAAAAUUUGUUGUAAACAUUAUGAACAUGUUGUAUGACAACAAGUCAAUAAGCAAUGCUGCCUAUAUUUGCAGAUUUCAGAGUGUGGAAUGUGCUUAUGUUGCUUCCUUGUGGGAUUGGCAUUCUAUUUCCAGGUUUAUCAAAUUUCUAAACAUUCAUACCACUAUACACUUUUGUAACACUUUUAGGUAAAUUUCACAUCGAGAAAUACUCUUUGUAACACCUUUAAAUAAAUUCACGUAAUAUCUUUAGAUAGGUCUCAUAUCAAAAAAUACUUUUUGUAUUGCUAUUAAGUAAAUUUCACA